Molecule: unclassified non-coding RNA, 237 nt
Filed under: uncultured fungus
Lineage: Eukaryota; Fungi
Description: partial contains 5.8S ribosomal RNA, internal transcribed spacer 2, and large subunit ribosomal RNA
Source: RNAcentral
AACGCACAUUGCGCCCCUCGGUAUUCCGUGGGGCAUGCCUGUUCGAGCGUCAUUUACACCCUCAAGCUCAGCUUGGUGAUGGGCGUCUGUCCGCGUGGACUCGCCCCAAAGUCAUUGGCAGCGGUCGUGCCAGCUUCUCGCGCAGAGCAUUGCGCUUCUUGAAGCUGGUUGAUCGGCGUCCACCAAGCUCUACAUUAACUUGACCUCGGAUCAGGUAGGGAUACCCGCUGAACUUAA